UGGGGAAUAUUGCACAAUGGGCGCAAGCCUGAUGCAGCCAUGCCGCGUGUAUGAAGAAGGCCUUCGGGUUGUAAAGUACUUUCAGCGGGGAGGAAGGGAGUAAAGUUAAUACCUUUGCUCAUUGACGUUACCCGCAGAAGAAGCACCGGCUAACUCCGUGCCAGCAGCCGCGGUAAUACGGAGGGUGCAAGCGUUAAUCGGAAUUACUGGGCGUAAAGCGCACGCAGGCGGUUUGUUAAGUCAGAUGUGAAAUCCCCGGGCUCAACCUGGGAACUGCAUCUGAUACUGGCAAGCUUGAGUCUCGUAGAGGGGGGUAGAAUUCCAGGUGUAGCGAUGAAAUGCGUAGAGAUCUGGAGGAAUACCGGUGGCGAAGGCGGCCCCCUGGUCUGUAACUGACGCUGAGGCUCGAAAGCGUGGGGAGCAAACAGG
RNAcentral lists this ribosomal RNA (429 nucleotides) under Chloroflexota bacterium. RNAcentral's name for it is "Chloroflexi bacterium partial 16S ribosomal RNA". It matches the Rfam family "Bacterial small subunit ribosomal RNA", at positions 355 to 776 of the family's 1533-position model. Lineage: Bacteria; Bacillati; Chloroflexota. The record is from RNAcentral.